RNAcentral lists this ribosomal RNA (450 nucleotides) under uncultured bacterium. Its description in RNAcentral is "partial 16S ribosomal RNA". It matches the Rfam family "Bacterial small subunit ribosomal RNA", at positions 354 to 796 of the family's 1533-position model. The record is from RNAcentral.
GUGGGGAAUAUUGGACAAUGGGCGCAAGCCUGAUCCAGCCAUACCGCGUGGGUGAAGAAGGCCUUCGGGUUGUAAAGCCCUUUUGUUGGGAAAGAAAUCCUGUCGGUUAAUACCUGGCGGGGAUGACGGUACCCAAAGAAUAAGCACCGGCUAACUUCGUGCCAGCAGCCGCGGUAAUACGAAGGGUGCAAGCGUUACUCGGAAUUACUGGGCGUAAAGCGUGCGUAGGUGGUGGUUUAAGUCCGUUGUGAAAGCCCUGGGCUCAACCUGGGAAUUGCAGUGGAUACUGGAUCACUAGAGGGUGGGAGAGGGAUGCGGAAUUUCUGGUGUAGCAGUGAAAUGCGUAGAGAUCAGAAGGAACAUCCGUGGCGAAGGCGGCAUCCUGGGCCAACACUGACACUGAGGCACGAAAGCGUGGGGAGCAAACAGGAUUAGAAACCCUAGUAGUCC